Molecule: unclassified non-coding RNA, 353 nt
Filed under: soil metagenome
Description: partial contains 5.8S ribosomal RNA, internal transcribed spacer 2, and large subunit ribosomal RNA
Rfam family: 5.8S ribosomal RNA (bases 1-120)
Source: RNAcentral
GAUGAAGAACGUAGCGAAAUGCGAUAAGUAAUGUGAAUUGCAGAAUUCAGUGAAUCAUCGAAUCUUUGAACGCACAUUGCGCCCGCCAGUAUUCUGGCGGGCAUGCCUGUCCGAGCGUCAUUUCAACCCUCGAACCCCUCCGGGGGGUCGGCGUUGGGGAUCGGCCCUCCCUUAGCGGGUGGCCGUCUCCGAAAUACAGUGGCGGUCUCGCCGCAGCCUCUCCUGCGCAGUAGUUUGCACACUCGCAUCGGGAGCGCGGCGCGUCCACAGCCGUUAAACACCCAACUUCUGAAAUGUUGACCUCGGAUCAGGUAGGAAUACCCGCUGAACUUAAGCAUAUCAAUAAGCGGAGG